GCAGCCGCGGUAAUUCCAGCUCCAAUAGCGUAUAUUAAAGUUGUUGCGGUUAAAAAGCUCGUAGUUGGAGUUCUGCCAGGUGCCGUCUGUCCGCCCCAGUGGUGAGUACGUGACGCGCAUUUGGCCCUUUCAAGGGGAGCGUAUCUGCACUUUACUGUGUGGUGCGGGAUCCUUGACUUUUACUUUGAGGAAAUAGGAGUGUUCCAAGCAGGCUCUCGUCGUGCACAGCUCAGCAUGGAAUAAUAGCAUUGGACCUCGAUUCUAAGCUGUUGGUUGCCAGAAGCGAGGUAAUGAUGAAGAGGGAUAGUUGGGGGCAUUCGUAUUUAACUGUCAGAGGUGAAAUUCUUGGACUUGUUAAAGACGGACUACUGCGAAAGCAUCUGCCAUGGAUGUUUUCAUUGAUCAAGAACGAAAGUUAGGGGAUCGAAGACGAUCAGAUACCGUCCUAGUCUUAACUAUAAACCAUGCCGGCUAGAGAUCGGAGGUUGUUCGUUUUGUGACGCCUUCAGCAUCUUGAGAGAAAUCAAAGCCUUUGGGUUCCGGGGGGAGUAUGGUCGCAAGGCUGAAACUUAAAGGAAUUGACGGAAGGGCACCACCAGGAGUGGAGCCUGCGGCUUAAUUUGACUCAACACGGGGAAACUUACCAGGUCCAGACUGGGUAAGGAUGUACAGAUUGAUAGCUCUUUACAGAUUCUCAGGGUGGUGGUGCAUGGCCGUUCUUAGUUGGUGGAGUGAUUUGUCUGGUUAAUUCCGUUAACGAACGAGACCUUAACCUGCUAAAUAGCGUCGAGUUUCUUCUUGAAACGAAGAUGUCUUCUUAGAGGGACGUCGCGUGUCUAACGCGAGGAGGUGUGAGGCAAUAACAGGUCUG
RNAcentral lists this ribosomal RNA (871 nucleotides) under uncultured eukaryote. RNAcentral describes it as "SSU rRNA". It matches the Rfam family "Eukaryotic small subunit ribosomal RNA", at positions 570 to 1464 of the family's 1831-position model. The record is from RNAcentral.